Non-coding RNA from Pelobates cultripes (western spadefoot toad), 230 nucleotides. NCBI's taxonomy places the organism in Eukaryota, Metazoa, Chordata, Amphibia, Anura, Pelobatidae. The record is from the annotation of a GenBank genome assembly.
CCUGAUAUACGACUGCCUAAACUCAGGAGCACAUAGCAAAAGCCUAACUUUUGUGCAAAACUGGGAGAAGGACCUAAAACUCACCUAUCCAGACACAGAAUGGGAAAAACUAUUUACCACUCAAAAAAAAUACACGUUAUGCUCUUCACACAUAGAACUGACCAAAAAGAUUUUGUACAGAUGGUACUUAGUCCCAACAAAAUUACAUAAAAUGUUCCCCGCAGUAUCAG